GAAAUGCGAUAAUUAAUAUGAAUUGCAGAAUUCAGUGAAUCAUCGAGUCUUUGAACGCACAUUGCGCCCUCCGGCAUUCCGGAGGGCAUGUCCGACCGAGCGUCACUAGCACCGCUCGAGCCCGCCCCGCUUUCGGGGCGGAGGCUCGGUGUUGGGGACCCGCGGGCGGGGUCGACUCGGACCCCACCGCGGCCCUGAAAAGCAGUGGCGGCCCGUCAAGGCAAAGCCCCCAGCGGAGUAGAACAUUACGUCUCGCUCGGGCGCCCUGGCUGGGACAGCCUCGAACCUAACGAGGGGGGCCCCAACAAGCCCCCCACACCCGGUUGGCCUCGGGUCGGACAAGAUUACCCGCUGAACUUAA
RNAcentral lists this unclassified non-coding RNA (361 nucleotides) under uncultured Sordariomycetes. RNAcentral's name for it is "sequence contains ITS1". The stretch from base 1 to 105 matches the Rfam family "5.8S ribosomal RNA", at positions 50 to 154 of the family's 154-position model. Lineage: Eukaryota; Fungi; Ascomycota; Sordariomycetes. The record is from RNAcentral.